Molecule: ribosomal RNA, 2905 nt
Filed under: Escherichia coli
Lineage: Bacteria; Pseudomonadati; Pseudomonadota; Gammaproteobacteria; Enterobacterales; Enterobacteriaceae
Description: 23S ribosomal RNA
Rfam family: Bacterial large subunit ribosomal RNA
Source: RNAcentral
GGUUAAGCGACUAAGCGUACACGGUGGAUGCCCUGGCAGUCAGAGGCGAUGAAGGACGUGCUAAUCUGCGAUAAGCGUCGGUAAGGUGAUAUGAACCGUUAUAACCGGCGAUUUCCGAAUGGGGAAACCCAGUGUGUUUCGACACACUAUCAUUAACUGAAUCCAUAGGUUAAUGAGGCGAACCGGGGGAACUGAAACAUCUAAGUACCCCGAGGAAAAGAAAUCAACCGAGAUUCCCCCAGUAGCGGCGAGCGAACGGGGAGCAGCCCAGAGCCUGAAUCAGUGUGUGUGUUAGUGGAAGCGUCUGGAAAGGCGCGCGAUACAGGGUGACAGCCCCGUACACAAAAAUGCACAUGCUGUGAGCUCGAUGAGUAGGGCGGGACACGUGGUAUCCUGUCUGAAUAUGGGGGGACCAUCCUCCAAGGCUAAAUACUCCUGACUGACCGAUAGUGAACCAGUACCGUGAGGGAAAGGCGAAAAGAACCCCGGCGAGGGGAGUGAAAAAGAACCUGAAACCGUGUACGUACAAGCAGUGGGAGCCUCUUAAUGGGGUGACUGCGUACCUUUUGUAUAAUGGGUCAGCGACUUAUAUUCUGUAGCAAGGUUAACCGAAUAGGGGAGCCGAAGGGAAACCGAGUCUUAACUGGGCGUUAAGUUGCAGGGUAUAGACCCGAAACCCGGUGAUCUAGCCAUGGGCAGGUUGAAGGUUGGGUAACACUAACUGGAGGACCGAACCGACUAAUGUUGAAAAAUUAGCGGAUGACUUGUGGCUGGGGGUGAAAGGCCAAUCAAACCGGGAGAUAGCUGGUUCUCCCCGAAAGCUAUUUAGGUAGCGCCUCGUGAAUUCAUCUCCGGGGGUAGAGCACUGUUUCGGCAAGGGGGUCAUCCCGACUUACCAACCCGAUGCAAACUGCGAAUACCGGAGAAUGUUAUCACGGGAGACACACGGCGGGUGCUAACGUCCGUCGUGAAGAGGGAAACAACCCAGACCGCCAGCUAAGGUCCCAAAGUCAUGGUUAAGUGGGAAACGAUGUGGGAAGGCCCAGACAGCCAGGAUGUUGGCUUAGAAGCAGCCAUCAUUUAAAGAAAGCGUAAUAGCUCACUGGUCGAGUCGGCCUGCGCGGAAGAUGUAACGGGGCUAAACCAUGCACCGAAGCUGCGGCAGCGACGUUUAUGCGUUGUUGGGUAGGGGAGCGUUCUGUAAGCCUGCGAAGGUGUACUGUGAGGUAUGCUGGAGGUAUCAGAAGUGCGAAUGCUGACAUAAGUAACGAUAAAGCGGGUGAAAAGCCCGCUCGCCGGAAGACCAAGGGUUCCUGUCCAACGUUAAUCGGGGCAGGGUGAGUCGACCCCUAAGGCGAGGCCGAAAGGCGUAGUCGAUGGGAAACAGGUUAAUAUUCCUGUACUUGGUGUUACUGCGAAGGGGGGACGGAGAAGGCUAUGUUGGCCGGGCGACGGUUGUCCCGGUUUAAGCGUGUAGGCUGGUUUUCCAGGCAAAUCCGGAAAAUCAAGGCUGAGGCGUGAUGACGAGGCACUACGGUGCUGAAGCAACAAAUGCCCUGCUUCCAGGAAAAGCCUCUAAGCAUCAGGUAACAUCAAAUCGUACCCCAAACCGACACAGGUGGUCAGGUAGAGAAUACCAAGGCGCUUGAGAGAACUCGGGUGAAGGAACUAGGCAAAAUGGUGCCGUAACUUCGGGAGAAGGCACGCUGAUAUGUAGGUGAAGUCCCUCGCGGAUGGAGCUGAAAUCAGUCGAAGAUACCAGCUGGCUGCAACUGUUUAUUAAAAACACAGCACUGUGCAAACACGAAAGUGGACGUAUACGGUGUGACGCCUGCCCGGUGCCGGAAGGUUAAUUGAUGGGGUUAGCGGUAACGCGAAGCUCUUGAUCGAAGCCCCGGUAAACGGCGGCCGUAACUAUAACGGUCCUAAGGUAGCGAAAUUCCUUGUCGGGUAAGUUCCGACCUGCACGAAUGGCGUAAUGAUGGCCAGGCUGUCUCCACCCGAGACUCAGUGAAAUUGAACUCGCUGUGAAGAUGCAGUGUACCCGCGGCAAGACGGAAAGACCCCGUGAACCUUUACUAUAGCUUGACACUGAACAUUGAGCCUUGAUGUGUAGGAUAGGUGGGAGGCUUUGAAGUGUGGACGCCAGUCUGCAUGGAGCCGGCCUUGAAAUACCACCCUUUAAUGUUUGAUGUUCUAACGUUGGCCCCUUACCGGGGUUGCGGACAGUGUCUGGUGGGUAGUUUGACUGGGGCGGUCUCCUCCUAAAGAGUAACGGAGGAGCACGAAGGUUGGCUAAUCCUGGUCGGACAUCAGGAGGUUAGUGCAAUGGCAUAAGCCAGCUUGACUGCGAGCGUGACGGCGCGAGCAGGUGCGAAAGCAGGUCAUAGUGAUCCGGUGGUUCUGAAUGGAAGGGCCAUCGCUCAACGGAUAAAAGGUACUCCGGGGAUAACAGGCUGAUACCGCCCAAGAGUUCAUAUCGACGGCGGUGUUUGGCACCUCGAUGUCGGCUCAUCACAUCCUGGGGCUGAAGUAGGUCCCAAGGGUAUGGCUGUUCGCCAUUUAAAGUGGUACGCGAGCUGGGUUUAGAACGUCGUGAGACAGUUCGGUCCCUAUCUGCCGUGGGCGCUGGAGAACUGAGGGGGGCUGCUCCUAGUACGAGAGGACCGGAGUGGACGCAUCACUGGUGUUCGGGUUGUCAUGCCAAUGGCACUGCCCGGUAGCUAAAUGCGGAAGAGAUAAGUGCUGAAAGCAUCUAAGCACGAAACUUGCCCCGAGAUGAGUUCUCCCUGACUCCUUGAGAGUCCUGAAGGAACGUUGAAGACGACGACGUUGAUAGGCCGGGUGUGUAAGCGCAGCGAUGCGUUGAGCUAACCGGUACUAAUGAACCGUGAGGCUUAACCUU